Long non-coding RNA from Passer domesticus (house sparrow), 602 nucleotides. RefSeq lists it as uncharacterized. The transcript has 4 exons. NCBI's taxonomy places the organism in Eukaryota, Metazoa, Chordata, Aves, Passeriformes, Passeridae. The record is from RefSeq and is a predicted model, not a curated record.
AAGGGAGUAGCCUAGCAACACAAAACAAGACCAGUGUUACAGAGAACACAAACAUCUUUGUAGCAGCCAUUCCUGGAGAACCCAGGGAGGUGUUAGGGCUCAAAGUGACAAAGUAAAAAGGAGAAUUAGGAGUGAAGGAAAAAAAAAAGUACAGAAAUGAGCUGGACUCUGAUUAAAAUGUGAUUAUUGCACAAAGAGAUGGUGGCAGUUACCAUGAAAGAAGAGAAAGAGAUCCCACACUGGACCUCCAGCUACCUUCUUCAGCUGAUUUUGGCACUGCCAGCUGGUACAUGCUGAAACCUGCGGCUCGGUGCUGUACCAAAGAAAAGUUGUCCAGGCAGAGAAACGAAGAUCAACCCAAAAUAUAUGACUACCGAAUGACAAAGUCCUCCAACUCUUGCCUGUACCUUCUCCCCAGUGAUUUCAAGGCGCACAGUUUGAGUAGCAAGCAGAAACCAGAAGAGAACAGGGAAAGUUGCAAGCUGAACAAACAGCCCUGGAAAUAAAGCUCCAGACUGGAUUUCCCCACGGAAAGGAGGUUAAGCAUGGGAAGGGACUGCCCAGGGAGGUGUGGAGUCACCAUCCCCAGAGGAGUUCAGGAC